Molecule: ribosomal RNA, 253 nt
Filed under: uncultured bacterium
Lineage: Bacteria
Description: partial 16S ribosomal RNA
Rfam family: Bacterial small subunit ribosomal RNA
Source: RNAcentral
UACGGGGGGGGCAAGCGUUGUUCGGAAUUACUGGGCGUAAAGGGCUCGUAGGUGGCCAACUAAGUCAGACGUGAAAUCCCUCAGCUUAACUGGGGAACUGCGUCUGAUACUGGAUGGCUUGAGUGCAGGAGAGGAACGCGGAAUUCCAGGUGUAGCGGUGAAAUGCGUAGAUAUCUGGAGGAACACCGGUGGCGAAGGCGGCGUUCUGGACUGCAACUGACACUGAGGAACGAAAGCCAGGGGAGCAAACGGG